This 1506-nucleotide ribosomal RNA is filed under the name metagenome. RNAcentral's name for it is "bacterial SSU rRNA". It matches the Rfam family "Bacterial small subunit ribosomal RNA". The record is from RNAcentral.
UGGCUCAGAACGAACGGUGGCGGUGUGCUUAUUACAUGCAAGUCGAGCGGUAUCCGGCUUCGGCCGGAGAGAGCGGCGAAAGGGUGCGUAAUGUAUAGAUAACCUGCCCUGAAGCGGGGGAUAACAAUUCGAAAGGAUUGCUAAUACCGCAUGUGAUUAUGCUUUCGCAUGGAAGUAUAAUGAAAGUGGGGGACCUUCGGGCCUCACACUUCAGGAGGGGUCUAUAUCCUAUUAGCUAGUUGGCGGGAUAAAAGCCCACCAAGGCGACGAUGGGUAGCCGGCCUGAGAGGGUGACCGGCCACACGGGCACUGAGACACGGGCCCGACUCCUACGGGAGGCAGCAGUAAGGAAUAUUGGGCAAUGGGCGAAAGCCUGACCCAGCGACACCGCGUGAGCGAUGAAGGCCUUCGGGUUGUAAAGCUCUAACACGUAUUAAGAAGGCGGCGUGUGCCAAUACCACACGUUGUCGGACGAAGGUACGAGAUGAAGUCAUGGCUAACUCAGUGCCAGCAGCCGCGGUAAUACAGAGAUGGCGACCGUUGUUCGGAAUCACUGGGCUUAAAGGGCACGUAGGCGGGUUGUUAAGUCGGUUGUGAAAUCUCAUGGCUUACCCAUGGAACUGCAGCCGAAACUGGCAGUCUUGAGUGCGGUAGGGGGGAGUGGAACUCCUGGUGGAGCGGUGAAAUGUGUUGAUAUCAGGAGGAACGCCGGAGGCGAAAGCGACUCUCUAGACCGUAACUGACGCUGAGGUGCGAAAGCCAGGGGAGCAAACGGGAUUAGAUACCCCGGUAGUCCUGGCUGUAAACGAUGAGCACUAGGUAGGGGGGGGAAUCCCUCUCUGCUGGAGCAAAAGUAUUAAGUGCUCCGCCUGGGGAGUAUGGUCGCAAGGCUGAAACUCAAAGGAAUUGACGGGGGCUCGCACAAGCGGUGGAGCAUGUGGUUUAAUUCGAAACAACGCGAAGAACCUUACCUGGGCUUGACAUUCUUGGAUUAUCCGGCUGAAAGGUCGGAGACGCUCCUCGGAGUGGAACUUGAACAGGUGUUGCAUGGCUGUCGUCAGCUCGUGCCGUGAGGUGUUGGGUUAAGUCCCAUAACGAGCGAAACCUUUAUCCUUAGUUGCCAGCGGGUAAAGCCGGGGACUCUAAGGAGACUGCAUACGUCAAGUGUGAGGAAGGUGGAGAUGACGUCAAGUCAUCAUGGCCCUUAUGCCCAGGGCUACACACGUGCUACAAUGGCCGGUACAAAGGGAAGCAAGAUCCGUAAGGACGAGCAAAUCCCAAAAAAGCCGGUCCCAGUUCGGAUUGAGGGCUGCAAUUCGCCCUCAUGAAGUUGGAAUCGCUAGUAAUCGUGGGUCAGCUAUACCACGGUGAUUGUGUUCCCGAGCCUUGUACAUACCGCCCGUCAAGCCACCGAAGCAGGGGCAGCCCGAAGUCACUGACCUAACCCGCAAGGGGGGGAGGUGCCCAAGGAGGCCCUUGUGACGGGGACUAAGUCGUAACAAGGUA